GGCUCAGGAUGAACGCUGGCGGCGUGCCUAAUACAUGCAAGUCGAACGAGUUCUGAUUAUUGAAAGGUGCUUGCAUCUUGAUUUAAUUUUGAACGAGUGGCGGACGGGUGAGUAACACGUGGGUAACCUGCCCUUAAGUGGGGGAUAACAUUUGGAAACAGAUGCUAAUACCGCAUAAAUCCAAGAACCGCAUGGUUCUUGGCUGAAAGAUGGCGUAAGCUAUCGCUUUUGGAUGGACCCGCGGCGUAUUAGCUAGUUGGUGAGGUAACGGCUCACCAAGGCAAUGAUACGUAGCCGAACUGAGAGGUUGAUCGGCCACAUUGGGACUGAGACACGGCCCAAACUCCUACGGGAGGCAGCAGUAGGGAAUCUUCCACAAUGGACGCAAGUCUGAUGGAGCAACGCCGCGUGAGUGAAGAAGGCUUUCGGGUCGUAAAACUCUGUUGUUGGAGAAGAAUGGUCGGCAGAGUAACUGUUGUCGGCGUGACGGUAUCCAACCAGAAAGCCACGGCUAACUACGUGCCAGCAGCCGCGGUAAUACGUAGGUGGCAAGCGUUAUCCGGAUUUAUUGGGCGUAAAGCGAGCGCAGGCGGUUUUUUAAGUCUGAUGUGAAAGCCCUCGGCUUAACCGAGGAAGUGCAUCGGAAACUGGGAAACUUGAGUGCAGAAGAGGACAGUGGAACUCCAUGUGUAGCGGUGAAAUGCGUAGAUAUAUGGAAGAACACCAGUGGCGAAGGCGGCUGUCUGGUCUGUAACUGACGCUGAGGCUCGAAAGCAUGGGUAGCGAACAGGAUUAGAUACCCUGGUAGUCCAUGCCGUAAACGAUGAAUGCUAGGUGUUGGAGGGUUUCCGCCCUUCAGUGCCGCAGCCAACGCAUUAAGCAUUCCGCCUGGGGAGUACGACCGCAAGGUUGAAACUCAAAGGAAUUGACGGGGGCCCGCACAAGCGGUGGAGCAUGUGGUUUAAUUCGAAGCAACGCGAAGAACCUUACCAGGUCUUGACAUCUUUUGAUCACCUGAGAGAUCAGGUUUCCUCUUCGGGGGCAAAAUGACAGGUGGUGCAUGGUUGCCGUCAGCUCGUGUCGUGAGAUGUUGGGUUAAGUCCCGCAACGAGCGCAACCCUUAUGACUAGUUGCCAGCAUUUAGUUGGGCACUCUAGUAAGACUGCCGGUGACAAACCGGAGGAAGGUGGGGAUGACGUCAAAUCAUCAUGCCCUUUAUGACCUGGGCUACACACGUGCUACAAUGGAUGGUACAACGAGUUGCGAGACCGCGAGGUCAAGCUAAUCUCUUAAAGCCAUUCUCAGUUCGGACUGUAGGCUGCAACUCGCCUACACGAAGUCGGAAUCGCUAGUAAUCGCGGAUCAGCACGCCGCGGUGAAUACGUUCCCGGGCCUUGUACACACCGCCCGUCACACCAUGAGAGUUUGUAACACCCGAAGCCGGUGGCGUAACCCUUUUAGGGAGCGAGCCGUCUAAGGUGGGA
This 1484-nucleotide ribosomal RNA is filed under the name uncultured organism. Its description in RNAcentral is "SSU rRNA". It matches the Rfam family "Bacterial small subunit ribosomal RNA". The record is from RNAcentral.